GGCGAGUGAAGCGGCAAAAGCUCAAAUUUGAAAUCUAGCACCUUCGGUGUUCGAGUUGUAAUUUGAAGAUGGUAACCUUGGGUUUGGCUCUUGUCUAUGUUCCUUGGAACAGGACGUCAUAGAGGGUGAGAAUCCCGUCUGAUGAGAUGCCCAUUCCUAUGUAAGGUGCUAUCGAAGAGUCGAGUUGUUUGGGAAUGCAGCUCUAAGUGGGUGGUAAAUUCCAUCUAAAGCUAAAUAUUGGCGAGAGACCGAUAGCGAACAAGUACAGUGAUGGAAAGAUGAAAAGAACUUUGAAAAGAGAGUGAAAAAGUACGUGAAAUUGUUGAAAGGGAAGGGCAUUAGAUCAGACUUGGUGUUUUACGAUUAUCUUCUCUUCUUGAGUUGUGCACUCGUAUUUCACUGGGCCAGCAUCGAUUCGGAUGGCAAGAUAAUGGCAGUUGAAUGUGGCUUCACUUCGGUGGAGUGUUAUAGCUUCUGCUGAUAUUGCCUGUCUGGAUCGAGGGCUGCGUCUUUUGACUAGGAUGCUGGCGUAAUGAUCUAAUGCCGCCCG
RNAcentral lists this ribosomal RNA (550 nucleotides) under Hansenula anomala. RNAcentral describes it as "Wickerhamomyces anomalus partial large subunit ribosomal RNA". It matches the Rfam family "Eukaryotic large subunit ribosomal RNA", at positions 88 to 651 of the family's 3401-position model. The record is from RNAcentral. Lineage: Eukaryota; Fungi; Ascomycota; Saccharomycetes; Phaffomycetales; Wickerhamomycetaceae.